RNAcentral lists this non-coding RNA (183 nucleotides) under Fictibacillus aquaticus. RNAcentral's name for it is "6S / SsrS RNA". It matches the Rfam family "6S / SsrS RNA". From Rfam's summary of the family: E. coli 6S RNA was the first non coding RNA to be sequenced, but its function was unknown until recently. It consists of 184 nucleotides that fold into an extended hairpin structure with a large single-stranded internal bulge. The 6S RNA specifically associates with RNA polymerase holoenzyme containing the sigma70 specificity factor. The record is from Rfam by way of RNAcentral. Lineage: Bacteria; Bacillati; Bacillota; Bacilli; Caryophanales; Fictibacillaceae.
AAAAACCUGCGAUGUUAGUGGCUUUUCAUUGUCUUUAACCUUUGAUUGUAAUUCGGGAAUCUUAUAUGCCUGUCAGGCUGCCAAGCCUUCAACGCGUAGAGGAAGGCAGUAAAACAGCUGCGGAUACCCACCUGUGAGAACAGGUUCAAAAGACAAUCUAAGCUACGGCAAAGCGGGUUUACU